UUGGAGGGCAAGUCUGGUGCCAGCAGCCGCGGUAAUUCCAGCUCCAAUAGCGUAUAUUAAAGUUGUUGCAGUUAAAAAGCUCGUAGUUGAAUUUCGGGAUCAAUUUGCUGGUCGUGCCUUCGGUACGCACUGGUAUUAUUGGUUUCUCCUUUCUGAUGAAUCGCGAUGUCAUUAAUUUGGUGUCGUGGGGAAUCAGGACCGUUACUUUGAAAAAAUUAGAGUGUUUAAAGCAGGCUCACGCUUGAAUACAUUAGCAUGGAAUAAUGAAAUAGGACGUUUGAUUCUAUUUUGUUGGUUUCUAGGAUCGACGUAAUGAUUAAUUGGGAUAGUUGGGGGCAUUAGUAUUCAAUUGUCAGAGGUGAAAUUCUUGGAUUUAUUGAAGACUAACUACUGCGAAAGCAUUUGCCAAGGAUGUUUUCAUUAAUCAAGAACGAAAGUUAGGGGAUCGAAGACGAUCAGAUACCGUCGUAGUCUUAACCAUAAACUAUGCCGACUAGGGAUCGGAUGAUGUUAAUUUUUUAAUGACUCAUUCGGCGCCUUACGGGAAAC
This 549-nucleotide ribosomal RNA is filed under the name uncultured Glomeromycotina. RNAcentral describes it as "SSU rRNA". It matches the Rfam family "Eukaryotic small subunit ribosomal RNA", at positions 548 to 1098 of the family's 1831-position model. The record is from RNAcentral. Lineage: Eukaryota; Fungi; Glomeromycota.